RNAcentral lists this ribosomal RNA (433 nucleotides) under uncultured bacterium. Its description in RNAcentral is "partial 16S ribosomal RNA". It matches the Rfam family "Bacterial small subunit ribosomal RNA", at positions 29 to 507 of the family's 1533-position model. The record is from RNAcentral.
GCGAACGCUGGCGGCCGGCCUCACCCCUGCCAGUCGAACGAACCUUUCGGGGUUAGUGGCGGACGGGUGAGUAACACGUGGGAACGUGCCUUUAGGUUCGGAAUAACUCAGGGAAACUUGUGCUAAUACCGAAUGUGCCCUUCGGGGGAAAGAUUAAUCGCCUUUAGAGCGGCCCGCGUCUGAUUAGCUAGUUGGUUGAGGUAAUGGCUCACCAAGGCGACGAUCAGUAGCUGGUCUGAGAGGAUGAUCAGCCACAUUGGGACUGAGACACGGCCCAAACUCCUACGGGAGGCAGCAGUGGGGAAUCUUGCGCAAUGGGCGAAAGCCUGACGCAGCCAUGCCGCGUGAAUGAUGAAGGUCUUAGGAUUGUAAAAUUCUUUCACCGGGGACGAUAAUGACGGUACCCGGAGAAGAAGCCCCGGCUAACUUCGUG